AUUGAACGCUGGCGGCAUGCUUUACACAUGCAAGUCGAACGGUAACAGGCCUUCGGGUGCUGACGAGUGGCGAACGGGUGAGUAAUGCAUCGGAACGUACCCAGAGGUGGGGGAUAACGCAGCGAAAGCUGUGCUAAUACCGCAUGUGAUCUGAGGAUGAAAGCGGGGGACCGCGCAGCAAUGUUUGGCCUCGCGCCUUUGGAGCGGCCGAUGUCGGAUUAGCUAGUUGGUGGGGUAAAGGCCUACCAAGGCGACGAUCCGUAGCUGGUCUGAGAGGACGACCAGCCACACUGGGACUGAGACACGGCCCAGACUCCUACGGGUGGCAGCAAUGGGGAAUUUUGGACAAUGGGCGCAAGCCUGAUCCAGCAAUGCCGCGUGCGGGAAGAAGGCCUUCGGGUUGUAAACCGCUUUUGGCAGGAACGAAACGGUGUCCGCUAAUACCGGGCGCUAAUGACGGUACCUGCAGAAUAAGCACCGGCUAACUACGUG
Molecule: ribosomal RNA, 492 nt
Filed under: uncultured bacterium
Lineage: Bacteria
Description: partial 16S ribosomal RNA
Rfam family: Bacterial small subunit ribosomal RNA
Source: RNAcentral